GCCGCCGUGGCACAACCUGGUAAUGCGCUAGCCUUGAGAGCUAGUUUCCGAAAGGAUAUCCCAGUUCAAAUCUGGGCGGCGGCG
RNAcentral lists this transfer RNA (84 nucleotides) under Candidatus Woesearchaeota archaeon. RNAcentral's name for it is "tRNA-Ser". It matches the Rfam family "tRNA". From Rfam's summary of the family: Transfer RNA (tRNA) molecules are approximately 80 nucleotides in length. The record is from RNAcentral. Lineage: Archaea; Nanobdellati; Candidatus Woesearchaeota.